Non-coding RNA from Termitomyces sp. Mi166#008, 83 nucleotides. The record is from the annotation of a GenBank genome assembly. NCBI's taxonomy places the organism in Eukaryota, Fungi, Basidiomycota, Agaricomycetes, Agaricales, Lyophyllaceae.
GUCCGUAUCGAUUAGUGGUUAAAUCAUCUCGUUGUGGCUCUGGGCGCUCCGAGAAGCCGCAGGCUCGAAUCCUGCUACGGACA